ACGGGAGGCAGCAGUGGGGAAUAUUGGACAAUGGGGGAAACCCUGAUCCAGCGACGCCGCGUGAGUGAAGAAGUAUUUCGGUAUGUAAAGCUCUAUCAGCAGGGAAGAUAAUGACGGUACCUGACUAAGAAGCCCCGGCUAACUACGUGCCAGCAGCCGCGGUAAUACGUAGGGGGCAAGCGUUAUCCGGAUUUACUGGGUGUAAAGGGAGUGUAGGUGGUUUGGUAAGUCAGAUGUGAAAGCCCGCGGCUCAACUGCGGGACUGCAUUUGAAACUAUCAAACUAGAGUGCAGGAGAGGAAAGUGGAACUCCUAGUGUAGCGGUGAAAUGCGUAGAUAUUAGGAAGAACACCAGUGGCGAAGGCGGCUUUCUGGACUGUAACUGACACUGAGGCUCGAAAGCGUGGGGAGCAAACAGGAUUAGAUACCCUGGUA
RNAcentral lists this ribosomal RNA (434 nucleotides) under uncultured Clostridium sp. RNAcentral describes it as "partial 16S ribosomal RNA". It matches the Rfam family "Bacterial small subunit ribosomal RNA", at positions 341 to 792 of the family's 1533-position model. The record is from RNAcentral. Lineage: Bacteria; Bacillati; Bacillota; Clostridia; Eubacteriales; Clostridiaceae.